RNAcentral lists this long non-coding RNA (615 nucleotides) under Olea europaea subsp. europaea. The record is from RNAcentral. Lineage: Eukaryota; Viridiplantae; Streptophyta; Magnoliopsida; Lamiales; Oleaceae.
ACAUUUGAUGCCAAAAUAUUUUCUAGAUUUAGACAGGAGUCAAUCGAUCUUCAUUUUCAGCCUGCAAAGAGAGUUCUAAGGUAUAACAAAGGAAAUACAGAGCUUGGAAUCUGGUUUAGGAGGUCUGAAAAUUAUGUUCUAAUAGGCUACACUGAUAGUGAUUGGGCCAGAUCAUGUGAUAUAUGAAGAGCACAUCAGGGUAUGUAUUCUAUCUAGUAUCAAGUCCAAUCUAUUGGCACUCGAUGAAAUAGAAAAUUGUGGCUUAAUCAACAGCUGAAGCAGAGUAUGUGGCUGCAUCUGAGGCUACAAACUAGGCAAUCUGGUUAAGGAAAGUCUUGAGGAUCUAAACCAUAAGAAAACUAAUGCAACUGUGAUUCAUUUUGAUAAUCAAUUUGCUGUUGCUAUGGUUAAAAACCCGGUAUUUCAUGGAAGGACAAAACAUAUCAAAAUAAGGUAUCAUGCAAUUAGAGAAGCUCAGGAGAACCUUGAAGUGAAACUUGUGCAUUGCAAUUCUGAGGUUCAAUUUGUAGACAUUCUCACGAAAAGUUUGUCCAAAGAAAGGUUUGAAACACUAAGGAAAUGCCUUGGUGUUUCCAACAAAAGUGUGAAGGAGGA